Molecule: ribosomal RNA, 197 nt
Filed under: Thraustochytriidae sp.
Lineage: Eukaryota; Bigyra; Thraustochytrida; Thraustochytriidae
Description: Thraustochytriaceae sp. partial small subunit ribosomal RNA
Rfam family: Eukaryotic small subunit ribosomal RNA
Source: RNAcentral
AACGCACGCUAGUGGGCAGCAGCACAUGAGAAAUCAAAGUCUUUGGGUUCCGGGGGAAGUAUGGUCGCAAGGCUGAAACUUAAAGGAAUUGACGGAAGGGCACCACCAGGAGUGGAGCCUGCGGCUUAAUUUGACUCAACACGGGAAAACUUACCAGGUCCAGACAUAGGAAGGAUUGACAGAUUGAGAGCUCUUUC